This 964-nucleotide small RNA is filed under the name Microascus gracilis. Its description in RNAcentral is "eukaryotic LSU rRNA". It matches the Rfam family "Eukaryotic large subunit ribosomal RNA", at positions 23 to 978 of the family's 3401-position model. Lineage: Eukaryota; Fungi; Ascomycota; Sordariomycetes; Microascales; Microascaceae. The record is from RNAcentral.
ACCCGCUGAACUUAAGCAUAUCAAUAAGCGGAGGAAAAGAAACCAACAGGGAUUGCCCCAGUAACGGCGAGUGAAGCGGCAACAGCUCAAAUUUGAAAUCUGGUCCCCCCGCGGGGCCCGAGUUGUAAUUUGAAGAGGAUGCUUCUGGCAAGGUGCCGUCCGAGUUCCCUGGAACGGGACGCCGCAGAGGGUGAGAGCCCCGUACGGUCGGACGCCGAGCCUCUGUGAAGCUCCUUCGACGAGUCGAGUAGUUUGGGAAUGCUGCUCAAAAUGGGAGGUAAACCCCUUCUAAAGCUAAAUACCGGCCAGAGACCGAUAGCGCACAAGUAGAGUGAUCGAAAGAUGAAAAGCACUUUGAAAAGAGAGUUAAAAAGCACGUGAAAUUGUUGAAAGGGAAGCGCUUGCGACCAGACUCGCGCCCGUCGGAUCAGCCGUCGCUCGUCGGCGGCGCACUCCGGCGGGCUCGGGCCAGCAUCAGUUCGCCUCGGGGGGAGAAAGGCGGCGGGAAUGUGGCUCUACGGAGUGUUAUAGCCCGCCGCGUAAUACCCCCGGGCGGACUGAGGACCGCGCGUAUGCAAGGAUGCUGGCGUAAUGGUCGUCAGCGACCCGUCUUGAAACACGGACCAAGGAGUCGUCCUAAUAUGCGAGUGUACGGGUGUCAAACCCCUGCGCGUAAUGAAAGUGAACGGAGGUGAGAGCUUCGGCGCAUCAUCGACCGAUCCUGAUGUUCUCGGAUGGAUUUGAGUAAGAGCAUAUUGGGCCGGACCCGAAAGAAGGUGAACUAUGCCUGUGUAGGGUAAAGCCAGAGGAAAACUCUGGUGGAGGCUCGCAGCGGUUCUGACGUGCAAAUCGAUCGUCAAACAUGGGCAUGGGGGGCGAAAGACUAAUCGAAACCUKGGGCAUGGGGGCGAAAGACUAAUCGAAMCUUCUWGUAGCURGGUUUCCGCCGAAGUUUCCCUCRGGA